UUCCAGGUUUAUGGAGUUCAACUCCUGCCUAUGGCAAUCUUUCUCUUCUGAGUGAACUCUGCAGGAAGCCUCUUCAGCCUCCUGGUGGCGCCGGCAUUUGUGGAAGUUCUCCACCACCACGCCCACGAACAUGUUGAGCACGAAGAAGGCCACAAUAAGCAGGAAGGAGAUGAAGUACAGCAACAUCCAUGGGUUGUAGUUCAUUACGGGCUUGAAAAAAAAGAGAUUUAUAAAUACGCAUCAUCAUCUGCGCUGAUCUGAACCUGAUGAGCACAAAGCGGAGCCGAGCAGUGUGCAUGUGGACCAGGUAACAGGAGAUUUAGGUCCACUAGAUCAUCUGGACCCCAUAAGAUGGCAAAAGGGGUUAAAGGACCUUAAAAAACCCAAAGCUAUUUAUUGACAUUUCUGGAAGCUAAAACAUUCUUAUCACUGUACUUGAUUUAGAAUGUGACUCUGACCCAUUGUGUGCUUGUAAUGUUCUUCAAUUAAGAGUCACUUUGGAUAGGUGUCUUUAAAUGC
This is a long non-coding RNA of Oryzias melastigma (Indian medaka), 519 nucleotides long. RefSeq lists it as uncharacterized. The record is from RefSeq and is a predicted model, not a curated record. The transcript is spliced from 3 exons. NCBI's taxonomy places the organism in Eukaryota, Metazoa, Chordata, Actinopteri, Beloniformes, Adrianichthyidae.